CCUACGGGAGGCUGCAGUGGGGAAUAUUGGGCAAUGGGCGCAAGCCUGACCCAGCAACGCCGCGUGAAGGAAGAAGGCUUUCGGGUUGUAAACUUCUUUUAAGAGGGAAGAGCAGAAGACGGUACCUCUUGAAUAAGCCACGGCUAACUACGUGCCAGCAGCCGCGGUAAUACGUAGGUGGCAAGCGUUGUCCGGAUUUACUGGGUGUAAAGGGCGUGUAGCCGGGCUGACAAGUCAGAUGUGAAAUCCCGUGGCUCAACCACGGAACUGCAUUUGAAACUGUCGGUCUUGAGUAUCGGAGGGGCAGGCGGAAUUCCUGGUGUAGCGGUGAAAUGCGUAGAUAUCAGGAGGAACACCGGCGGCGAAGGCGGCCUGCUGGACUGAAACUGACGUUGAGGCUCGAAAGCGUGGGGAGCAAACAGGAUUAGAUACCCGGGUAGUC
RNAcentral lists this ribosomal RNA (442 nucleotides) under uncultured bacterium. Its description in RNAcentral is "partial 16S ribosomal RNA". It matches the Rfam family "Bacterial small subunit ribosomal RNA", at positions 338 to 795 of the family's 1533-position model. The record is from RNAcentral.